GGAUGCAAUCGCCUGGUAAUAAACUCCGAUAAUAUGGAAGUCAUUGACAUAAUGAAGAAUGGAGGACAAUCUACGGGAGCGGCGGCAGCAGUUUUAGAUGAUUGCUCUUUCUUGGCUUGUGACUUUUCACUUUCUAGUUUUGAACACUGUAAUAAGGAAGCCAAUAGAGUUGCUCAUGAACUAGCUAGGUUAGCGAGAGUUUUCGAGACAAACGAGUGGAUUGAGGAGCCUAUGAGCGAUAUUGUAUCUUUUCUUAUAAACAAUGUAAUCGUUAUUUCCAAUUAA
RNAcentral lists this ribosomal RNA (285 nucleotides) under Triticum aestivum (bread wheat). Its description in RNAcentral is "partial small subunit ribosomal RNA". Lineage: Eukaryota; Viridiplantae; Streptophyta; Magnoliopsida; Poales; Poaceae. The record is from RNAcentral.